This 488-nucleotide ribosomal RNA is filed under the name uncultured bacterium. RNAcentral's name for it is "partial 16S ribosomal RNA". It matches the Rfam family "Bacterial small subunit ribosomal RNA", at positions 28 to 507 of the family's 1533-position model. The record is from RNAcentral.
GACGAACGCUGGCGGCGUGCUUAACACAUGCAAGUCGAACGCGCCUGUCCUCUGGGUUUCUGGGGGGUGGGUGAGUGGCGAACGGGUGAGUAACACGUGAGUAACCUGCCCCCUUCUUCGGGAUAACGGUCUGAAAGGGCUGCUAAUACCGGGUAUUCACUGGUCUCCGCAUGGGGUCUGGUGGAAAGGUUUUUUUCUGGUGGGGGAUGGGCUCGCGGCCUAUCAGCUUGUUGGUGGGGUGAUGGCCCACCAAGGCUUUGACGGGUAGCCGGCCUGAGAGGGUGACCGGUCACAUUGGGACUGAGAUACGGCCCAGACUGCUACGGGAGGCAGCAGUGGGGAAUAGUGCACAAUGGGCGCAAGCCUGAUGCAGCGACGCCGCGUGAGGGAUGGAGGCCUUCGGGUUGUGAACCUCUUUCGCCCGUGGUCAAGCCGCGACGUGGGUCGUGGUGAGGGUAGUGGGUAAAGAAGCGCCGGCUAACUACGUG